AAAGCCGGUGGUGCGGCUAGUGCAUAACGAGCGCACCCUUUUCAUUAGUUGCCAUCAGGUCAUGCUGGGCACUCUGGUGAUACUGCCACCGUAAGGUGUAAGGAAGGUGGGGAUGACGUAAGCAGCACCCUUAUCUUUAGUAGCCAGCAUUUCGGAUGGGCACUCUAGAGAGACUCGCCGGGUGAACCGGGAGGAAGGUGGGGAUGACGUCAAAUCAUCAUGCCCCUUAUGAUUUGGGCUACACACGUGCUAAAGGGAUUGAGAAGGGAAGCAAGUAGGUCAAGAGUGACAGGUGGUGCAUGGUUGUCGUCAGCUCGUGUCGUGAGAUGUUGGGUUAAGUCCCGCAACGAGCAGCACCCUUAUCUUUAGUAGCCAGCAUUUCGGAUGGGCACUCUAGAGAGACUCGCCGGGUGAACCGGGAGGAAGGUGGGGAUG
RNAcentral lists this ribosomal RNA (435 nucleotides) under Pseudobutyrivibrio sp. 36. Its description in RNAcentral is "partial 16S ribosomal RNA". The stretch from base 291 to 435 matches the Rfam family "Bacterial small subunit ribosomal RNA", at positions 1036 to 1181 of the family's 1533-position model. Lineage: Bacteria; Bacillati; Bacillota; Clostridia; Lachnospirales; Lachnospiraceae. The record is from RNAcentral.